AGAGUUUGAUCCUGGCUCAGGAUAAACGCUGGCGGCGUGCGUUAUGCAUGCAAGUCGAACGAGGCUAGGGCUUCGGCCCGAAACCUAGUGGCGGACGGGUGAGUAACACGUACGUGACCUGUCCAGAAGUGGGGAAUAACCAGCCGAAAGGUUGGCUAAUACCGCAUGUGGUCACCCCUUGGAAGGGGAUGACGAAAGUCGCAAGACGCUUCUGGAGGGGCGUGCGGCCGAUUAGCUAGUUGGUGUGGUAACGGCGCACCAAGGCUGUGAUCGGUAGCUGGUCUGAGAGGAUGGUCAGCCACACUGGGACUGAGACACGGCCCAGACUCCUACGGGAGGCAGCAGCAGGGAAUUUUGCGCAAUGGGCGAAAGCCUGACGCAGCAACGCCGCGUGGGGGAUGAAGGCUCUUGGGUCGUAAACCCCUUUUGCCGGGGAAGAUCAUGACGGUACCCGGCGAAUAAGCCACGGCUAACUACGUGCCAGCAGCCGCGGUAAUACGUAGGUGGCAAGCGUUGUCCGGAUUUAUUGGGCGUAAAGAGCGCGCAGGCGGUUCGUUAAGUCCGAGGUGAAAUCUCCCGGCUCAACUGGGAGGGGUCUUUGGAUACUGGCGGACUUGAGGAGAGCAGAGGUGAGUGGAAUUCUGGGUGUAGUGGUGAAAUGCGUAGAUAUCCAGAGGAACACCAGCGGCGAAGGCGGCUCACUGGGCUCCACCUGACGCUGAGGCGCGAAAGCGUGGGGAGCGAACCGGAUUAGAUACCCGGGUAGUCCACGCUGUAAACGAUGGGCACUAGGUGUGAGGGGUAUUGACCCCCUUCGUGCCGAAGCUAACGCAGUAAGUGCCCCGCCUGGGGAGUACGGCCGCAAGGCUAAAACUCAAAUGAAUUGACGG
Molecule: ribosomal RNA, 890 nt
Filed under: uncultured bacterium
Lineage: Bacteria
Description: bacterial SSU rRNA
Rfam family: Bacterial small subunit ribosomal RNA
Source: RNAcentral